This 378-nucleotide unclassified non-coding RNA is filed under the name uncultured bacterium. RNAcentral describes it as "contains 16S-23S intergenic spacer region". The record is from RNAcentral.
UCCGGUUUGGCACCGGCAGUCCUCCCAGAGUCCCCGCCAUGACGCGCUGGCAACUGGGAGCGGGGGUUGCGCUCGUUGCGAGACUUAACCCAACAUCUCACGACACGAGCUGACGACAGCCAUGCAGCACCUCUACCAGCUCCCUUGCGGGUCGUUCCCCUUUCAGGGUCCUACCACUGGCAGUUCAAGCCUAGGUAAGGUUCUUCGCGUUGCAUCGAAUCAAACCACAUGCUCCACCGCUUGUGCAGGCCCCCGUCAAUUCCUUUGAGUUUUAAUCUUGCGACCGUACUCCCCAGGCGGAAUGCUUAAUGCGUUAGCUGCGACACUGACGAGCAUGCUCGCCAACGUCUAGCAUUCAUCGUUUACGGCGUGGACUAC